Long non-coding RNA from Folsomia candida, 981 nucleotides. RefSeq lists it as uncharacterized. Lineage: Eukaryota; Metazoa; Arthropoda; Collembola; Entomobryomorpha; Isotomidae. The transcript has 3 exons. The record is from RefSeq and is a predicted model, not a curated record.
AAACCGUAUUAAUCUUCCGUUAAAUGAUGUAUGUCACAAAAUAUUUGCUGCUAGAUGGCGUUUAUUCCUUACCUUUCUUUCAUCCGUACCGGAAAAUCUACAAGCAUGCAAAAAAGCAAGAAACAAUUUCUUCUUGGUCCCAUUUUCACGGAAAAUCGAGAAGAUAAGCGGCUGGUUUGAGGUGUGCAAAUACUAAUUUUGUGUUCCGGUGGAGUUACGAAAUAGAUGUGUAAAUUGUUCGCGAUGUGUGUAUGUGCGUAAUAGAUUCUUUGCUGUGUAAUCUGUUUACACGGACAUGACACUGCAACAGAUAAGAAUUUACUGCAGAGCAUUUAGUGCUAUUAACAUAAACUGUUGGAAAUACAUACAUAUUUGCUACGACAGGAAAGACGUCGCAAAGAGACGAUAAAAAGUAAUAACGAACGUACAUAUUAGUUCAGACCUAAAAUUCGCAAUGGAAUAUUUCUGGUUCACGAUUAAAAUGAUGAUGGUCACAUACAUGAUUUUCGGAGAGGUUGCCGGCGUCGCCAUGGGCGUUGGUUGCGUGAUGUACAAAUCUGUGUGGCUUACUCCACCCAGAAUGGAUGGGAGCAUUCCCAACGAAGAAAUCCCGGAGGGCGCGACCGAUGUAUAGAUAAAUGUUCCGUAAAUGUAAAUUAUUAUGGACUCAUUUAAUCAUGAAUAUGUAAGAAUAUAAGAGAAGGUCCAUAAAUCUAAUUCAAAAAAAUAAUUUUUAUACAAAAUUUCAAAAAUUUCUAGAAAUUUCAGUUUUUGAGACCGCCGCGAAAAAAAAGUAUUUUUAUUCUCAGGGGACCUUAGGGUAUUCAAAAAAUUUCAGCCAAAUCCGAGCUAGACCGCUAUACUGCAAUUUUGCUGUUAAUUAUUUCAAAUAUGAAAACGUUUGUAGAGUUGAUAAAGGAUGAAUUUGCUUUUAUAAGAUGUGAAAUUUGUAAAUAUGAAGCGAAAUUGUGAAUAAAUUCA